Galeopterus variegatus (Sunda flying lemur) is the source of this 365-nucleotide long non-coding RNA. RefSeq lists it as uncharacterized. The transcript is spliced from 4 exons. NCBI's taxonomy places the organism in Eukaryota, Metazoa, Chordata, Mammalia, Dermoptera, Cynocephalidae. The record is from RefSeq and is a predicted model, not a curated record.
UUUUGAUGGCACAUUACAAUCAGAAUCAACUAACAGUGGAAAAAACAAGAGAGAUUCAGAUUUUGAAGGCACAGAUGAACCCAUUUUUGGAAAGAAGCCCAGGAUAGAAGAGUCAAUAAAUGAAGACUUAAGUUUGGCAGACCUAAUGCCCAGAGUCAAGGUACAGUCAGUUGAAACCAUUGAAGGGUGUACACAUGAGGUUGCACUUCCUGCAGAUGAAGAUUAUUUGCCACUUAAACCUCGGGUUGGAAAAGCUGCAAAGGAAUAUCCAUUUAUUCUUGAUGCUUUUCAAAGAGAAGCCAUUCAGUGUGUUGAUAAUAAUCAAUCAGUUUUAGUAUCUGCACAUACAUCAGCGGGAAAAACUG